UACGGAGGAUGCGAGCGUUAUCCGGAUUUAUUGGGUUUAAAGGGUGCGUAGGCGGACUGUCAAGUCAGCGGUAAAAUUGUGAGGCUCAACCUCUUCCCGCCGUUGAAACUGGUGGUCUUGAGUGGAUGAGAAGUACGCGGAAUGCGUGGUGUAGCGGUGAAAUGCAUAGAUAUCACGCAGAACUCCGAUUGCGAAGGCAGCGUACCGGCAUCCAACUGACGCUGAGGCACGAAAGCGUGGGGAUCAAACAGG
RNAcentral lists this ribosomal RNA (252 nucleotides) under uncultured bacterium. RNAcentral describes it as "partial 16S ribosomal RNA". It matches the Rfam family "Bacterial small subunit ribosomal RNA", at positions 524 to 776 of the family's 1533-position model. The record is from RNAcentral.